UUAUCGUUGGGCUUCGGCCCAUUCGAGAUAACACCCUUGCCUUUUUGAGUACCUUUUCGUUUCCUCGGCAGGCUCGCCUGCCAACGGGGACCCCAAAAACGCUUUGUAAUACCUGUCAUUGUCUGAUAUAACAAGCAAAAAUCAAAACUUUCAACAACGGAUCUCUUGGUUCUGGCAUCGAUGAAGAACGCAGCGAAAUGCGAUAAGUAGUGUGAAUUGCAGAAUUCAGUGAAUCAUCGAAUCUUUGAACGCACAUUGCGCCCUUUGGUAUUCCUUAGGGCAUGCCUGUUCGAGCGUCAUUUAAACCUUCAAGCUCAGCUUGGUGAUGGGUGACUGUCCUCCCCUCGCGGGGGGACUCGCCUCAAAAACAUUGGCGGCCGGUACAUUGGCUUCGAGCGCAGCAGAAACGCGGUCUCGAGCCCGGUGGAUCGGCUCCCAUAAGCCUCAUUCUUUUAUUUUGACCUCGGAUCAGGUAGGGAUACCCGCUGAACUUAAGCAUAUCAAUAAGCGGAGGAAAAGAAACCAACAGGGAUUGCCCUAGUAACGGCGAGUGAAGCGGCAACAGCUCAAAUUUGAAAUCUGGCCCUUUCAGGGUCCGAGUUGUAAUUUGUAGAGGGUGCUUUGGCGUUGGCUGUGGUCUAAGUUCCUUGGAACAGGACGUCGCA
RNAcentral lists this ribosomal RNA (665 nucleotides) under fungal endophyte. Its description in RNAcentral is "eukaryotic LSU rRNA". The stretch from base 459 to 665 matches the Rfam family "Eukaryotic large subunit ribosomal RNA", at positions 1 to 207 of the family's 3401-position model. The record is from RNAcentral. Lineage: Eukaryota; Fungi.